RNAcentral lists this transfer RNA (52 nucleotides) under Contracaecum osculatum. RNAcentral describes it as "tRNA-Tyr". Lineage: Eukaryota; Metazoa; Nematoda; Chromadorea; Rhabditida; Anisakidae. The record is from RNAcentral.
AGCGUCAUUUAUUGGGCGUCAUUUAUGGGUAUGAGGUGUAAAUGGCAGUCUU